Molecule: ribosomal RNA, 499 nt
Filed under: uncultured bacterium
Lineage: Bacteria
Description: bacterial SSU rRNA
Rfam family: Bacterial small subunit ribosomal RNA
Source: RNAcentral
GACGAACGCUGGCGGCGCGCCUAACACAUGCAAGUCGAGCGGAGUUAGAAUUUCGGUUUUAACUUAGCGGCGGACGGGUGAGUAACGCGUGAGUAACCUGCCCUUCAGCGGGGGAUAGCGUCUGGAAACGGACGAUAAUACCGCAUAACGUGUGAAGAAGACAUCUUUUUUACACCAAAGGAUUUAUUCACUGAAGGAUGGACUCGCGUCCGAUUAGGUAGUUGGUGAGGUAACGGCCCACCAAGCCGACGAUCGGUAGCCGGACUGAGAGGUUGAUCGGCCACAUUGGGACUGAGACACGGCCCAGACUCCUACGGGAGGCAGCAGUGGGGGAUAUUGCACAAUGGAGGGAACUCUGAAUGCAGCGACGCCGCGUGAGGGAAGAAGGUCUUCGGGAUUGUAAACCUCUGUCUUUAGGGACGAAGAAAGUGAACGGUACCUAAAGAGGAAGCCACGGCUAAACUACGUAGCCAGCAGCCGACGGUAAAACGUAGCGUAG